GAUGCAUUUGAUCUAGUUUGAAGCCGCAAAGAAAACAGCUCCCUCCUCAUCACCUUCAUCCUCGUCUUCAUCGCUUCGUUUUCUUUCAGGCUCCGAGUUAUUUGUAAGCGAAGGGUAGCCGAGCCUUCCGAGAAAAGCUUGGGGCGACGGACACUUGGGGGAGUGUAUUGUGAUGGUGUGUUCCUGAAACCUCGGACGCCAGCCUUCCGAGCCGUCAUUUCCGUUACCUUCGGAGAAGCGCUGGGCGGCCAUCUUGUCCCGUGUGAUGUACAGGGCGUUGACCAGGUAGAAGACUCCGCCCAGCACGGCGACGGCGGGACAGAGCAGGAAGCUGUACUGCAGGCUGUGGAAGCGCC
Molecule: long non-coding RNA, 356 nt
Organism: Gadus morhua (Atlantic cod)
Lineage: Eukaryota; Metazoa; Chordata; Actinopteri; Gadiformes; Gadidae
Exons: 3
Source: RefSeq, a predicted model, not a curated record